RNAcentral lists this long non-coding RNA (7743 nucleotides) under Homo sapiens (human). RNAcentral describes it as "HSALNT0051240". Lineage: Eukaryota; Metazoa; Chordata; Mammalia; Primates; Hominidae. The record is from RNAcentral.
UUAUCCUCAUUAUUCAUCAAGGAAAUACAAAAUAGAAAAUAAAACAAGUUACAAUUUCAAACUUACCAAAUUGAGGAAAAUGAAAAACGUUGAUCACAGUGUUGGCUAAGAGGAAAACUCUUACACAUUGCUGGUAUGGGAGGUAAAUUUAUAAAACUAUUUGGAAAACAAUUUAGCAUAAAUGAAUGUAAAUAAACACAGGCAUAAUUUAGAAACAAGCAAAUUCUGUGGUAUGGACCAUAGAGAAAAUAUGGCACAUAUGACCAGGAAAUAUCUUUUUUUUAAAAAAAAAAAGUCCCCAAAACAUUUAUUCACCAAACUUCCUAACUCAAUUUUAAGCAAAAUGUAACAAUGAAUUAAUAAUCUGUGCAAGUGCUGACAGGCAUGCAGACUGGUGUGACCUCUAUGGAAGGGAUUUUGAGACUAUCUAACAACAACUACAGAUGCGCAUUUACCUUUUGAGUAGGUAAGCCCACUGCUCGGAAUUUACCCUGAAUCCACAUCUCCACAAAUAAAAAACAAGAUAUGCACAAGGUUAUUCAUUGCAGCAUUAGAUGUAAUAAUACAAGACUGCAAACAUCCUAAAUGCCUAUCUACAGGAGACUGGUUGAAUAACCACGGUACAUUACACAAUUGAGUACUAUGUAGCCAUAAACAAGAAUAAACAUCUCCAUGAACUAAUAUAAACCAACUUGCAGGCAAUGUUAAGUGAAAAAGUAGAUAUGGUAUGUCCACUCAACAGGCCUACAAGUUACAGCACUCAGUAAAAUUAAGUAUGCCUAUAGUCCAGAUCUUGGUUUCCAAAAACCAAUCUCUCAUUAAAAGGGCUCCUUGGAAAAAUGGCUGAUUCCAGGUCAAAGGCAGGGGAAAUGCAAGAUGAGCCUGGAACAUCUUUUUGUGCCAGAAAGUAAGAAAAUGCUCAAAGAUGAAUGGGGGCAUGUAAGAAGGACACAGCUAUAACUGUUAAUAGUAUAUUACCCAGAAUACAUAAAGAACUCUUACAACCCAAUUAUAAAAAGUCAAAUAGGCUGGGCGUGGUGGCUCACAUCUGUAAUCCCAACACUUUGGGAGGCUGAGGCAGGAAGACACUUGGGAGCCUGAGAGGCCGGGGCUGCAAUAAGCCAUGACCAUGCCACUGCACUCCAGCCUGGACAACAAAGUGAGACCCUGUUUCAAAAACAAACACAAAAAACACAAAAGGCAAAUAACCUAAUUUAAAAAUGAGCACAGAAUUUGAAUAGACAUUUCUCCAAAGAUACAUAAAUGGCCAGUAAGCACAUCAUAAGAUGCUCCUUAACAUCAUUAGUCACUGGGAUACCUACCACCUUCACACUCACGAUGUCAGCUGUAAUGUGAAGAAACUCAAAAAAACAAAAAGCCAGGCUGUGUGUGGUCCUCACACCUAUAAGUCCAGCACUUCGGGAGGCCAAGGCGGGAGAACUAUUUGAGGCCAGGAGUUUAAGACCAGCCUCGGCAACUCCUGUCUCCAAAAAGUAAAAUAAAAAAUAAAUAUGGCUUUACAAUGUUAUUCUUUCCAGAAUUUCUGAUAAUUUCAAGUGAGAGAGGUAAACAUUUUUAGUUAUAUGAUCAGAUACCCCAUACGAUUCGCAGACAAUUUAAUCUAUCUCCAGUCAGAUGAUUUACCAUAAAGAAAGCCACCAAAAAUUGUAAGCAGUCUGGAUUCGUGUUUAUUGAAACCAGUAAUUAGAGACAUCUUUUUUUCCCCAGCACUAGAAAGCAAGGUUCCACAUAACUGCGUACUGCACCUGCAUAGAGCCACAUCCCUGGACUAAGGCUGUGGGGGAUAAUCUGCAGUCAUAAUUUUAAGUUAGAAGCACCCAUAAAUUUAGUAUAUAGACGACAGUGAACUUUCACUUAUAGCAUCAACAUUGUUAAGGUCAUGAUGUACAGAGCAGUCACUUUCAAAUUCAUUAAAUUGAUAAAACAUGACAACGUCUUCAGUUUAAAUACUGAUUUUAAAAUGCCCAUAAAAAAAGUGCAAACAACGUAAUCUAGCAGCCUAUCUGUUGCAUUUUUAGGAAUGACCAAUUCAUGGUCUUUAUCUUGGCCAUGUAUUCAAAGUUGGGCUUUUCUUUCUUUUUUUAUUUUAAAGACAAAUAGCAGAUGUAGCCAUUAUACUGUGUAUAAAUGUCAUAAAAUUGUCGUUCACAGUCUACCAUACAAGUGUAUGCUGCAAAUAAAAUGAAUUUUACUUUAAAAUGUAAAGGCUGUUUAUUAUUUGGCCUUUGGUUUCAAUACUUGAAAACCCCAAAAUAACAAAACUCAUCUCCCUUCCUCCCACCUCCCAAAAAGAACCCUGCAGCUCCACAGACUAAGUGACCCCACCUUUAGUGUGACCAUAAGCUCUUUGGCAUCUAUUGAUGACCAAGAAACAUCUAAAACAAUAUUCAAAGGAGCCUUGUUUACAUGUUCCUAAAAGAUUGGGUAAAGAUAUUUUGUUUGAUUCAUGCAAUGUCAUUCUAUAAGAAGUGCUGAUGAACUACAGCUUCACAUGUCAACAAGGAUUAUUCUCAAAACAGAAGGCUUAGUAUAGAAAACAACUUUCCAGGAAUGAAUCCAGAAUGAUUCCAUAUAUAUAUAUAAGCUGUGAAAUUAACAAAAAUCUUAAGAUAUAUUUGUAUAAUAUAUAGCAAAAACUUUAAAAUGAAAAGAUAAAUAACAACACGUGAUUUAUUUAGGAGAUUUUUUGGUUCCAUGCAUUCAGAAAAAGAUACAUAGUGGCUUCAAAUACAUCAAUAAACUCCCAUUUUGUAUAAGCUAAGUGGUGGCUUUCGUAAGGUUAAUUCUUUUUAAUAUAAUAAUUAUUAUUCUUUAACAUCAAUUUCUCAAAAGAUAAUAAGGAGAAAUAUAACUUCAGAGAUCCCUUGGAAUAUUUUGGGGGCAUUUGCAAAGUAGGAGUCUUUUUUGUUUUUCCAUGUGGAUAGCCAAUUGUCCCACCAUAUUUGAUAAUUGACUUAAAGUGCCACCUCUGUCAACACUAAGUUUACACAUAUGGGUGGAUUAGUUUCUCGACAUUCUGAUUCAUUGGUCUAAUUGUAUAAACCUACAUGAACACCACAUGGUUUUAUUUACUGUAACUUGAAAUUAUACUUGAUAUCUAACAAGCCAAGCUUUCUGUCCUUUAUUUCUCCUCUUAUUUUUAUCCUCUCCCUUCCCUACUUCCUUUCUCUUCUCUUUUCUUCUUCUGUCUCCAAUGUUUAUUGUUAUUCUGGCUGCUUGUUCUCUGAUAUUAAUUUUAAGAUCGGAUUGUAAAUUUCUAAUGUAAUCCUUUUGAAUUUUGAUUGUUUAUUAAUUUGGGGGCUAAUUGUUAUACAGGGGAUUCUGUGUCUUCCUAUGCAUGACUAUAGCAUAACUCUUAUUUGGGCCUUCAUUUGUGUUUUUAUUAAGUUUUCCAUUUAAGUUUUUAUAUAUUUGUCCUAGGUACCAUGAACUAUGAAUGGUAUUCUUUUUAAAAAUUGCAUUUACUAUUAUGUAUUUGCUAGGGAAUGAGAAUACUGUUGAUUGAAUAUGGAUUCUAUAUAUAGCCAUCUUGCUGAAGUAACUCCUUAUUUCUACAGGUUUCUCAUUCUUACUGUUGAAUAUUACAUUUUGAAAAUCGUAUGAUGUGAAAAAGGUGAUUUUCCUUUCCAAUAGACUUAAUUUUUUUCCUUUAGAGCAUCCCUUACAAUACUGAAUAGCAGAAUUUCACAUCAGCACCAUGGACAUACUAAUGACUCUAAAAGGAAUGUUUCUACUUCCUUAUCUUUAAAAAUGUUUUCCAGCCGGGCACGGUGGCUCACCCCUGUAAUCCCAGCACUUUGGGAGGCCGAGGCCAGCGAAUCACAAGGUCAGGAGAUCGAGACCAUCCUGGCUAACACGGUGAAACCCCGUCUCUACUAAAAAUACAAAAAAUUAGCUGGGCGUGGCAGUGUGCGCCUAUAGUCCCAGCUAUUCGGGAGGCUGAGGCAGGAGAAUGGUGUGAACCCGGGAGGUGGAGCUUGCAGUGAGCCAAGAUCACACCACUGCACUCCAGCCUGGGCAACACAGCAAGAAUCCAUCUCAAAAAAAAAAAAAAGUUUUCCAAAGAUAUGCUCGUAGACCAUUUAAAGAAGUUGUCUUCUCAUUUGGAUUGCUAAAAUAUUUUAUUGUGAAUGAAUACCAAACUUUCUAGAUUAUAUUCUUCUGCAUAUAUAGAUAUGAUCAUAUUUUUCCUUUAAUAUAAUAAUGUGGUCACUUACUUGGACAGAUUUUGUGAUACUGAACUCACCUUGCAUUAUUGAGAUAAUAUUUUAUUAUGUAGUCUUAUGGUUAAAUCAUUGCUGAAUUUUAUUUUCUGACAUUUAUUUAUGAAAAGUCCAUCAGUGUGCACAAUACAAUUGGUAUAUAAUUUUCUCUUAUUUAGCUCUGUUUACUCUGUUUUGCUCUUAAGGUUAUUCCAGUCUGAUAAAAUGAGUUGAGUAUCUUUCCAUAUUUUAAAAUUAUUUUAAUUUUAUUUAUAUUUUUAUAUUUUAUUAUUUAAGGAUUAUAUAUUUACAACAUUAAAAAAAUUCCUACAAUCCUAUUUUUUGGUUCAGAGGGAUUUUUACUAAUGAUUCAGUUGCUUUAAUGACUUGAUUUAUUCAGACAUUUUUCUUUAGUUACUUCAGAAAUGAAUUAUAUAAUUUAAAAGUUUGAACGAAUGAACAUAUAUAACACUGUAUCUCAUAAAAAGAGAUUGCACAUUUUUUCUGGCACCCAAAGAAUAUUUCAAUAAUGACCAUAAAUUAGACUAACCAAUUAGUAAAUUAUGUCAAAUCGAUAUAUAAUAGGCCAUGAUCUCUAUCCUCAUUAUAAUUAAGCAAAUUAUAAUAUAAGAUAUAAAAUAUAAGGUAUUAACAACAAAAGGAUAGUUGAUAAAAAUUGCCUAUCUACUUUGAGCAUGUUAAACUCCAACCUAAACGACUCUGGGACUGUGAAAGAUAUCAAAACUGAAGUUUGGGACAGGAACAAAUUUUCUGUGAAGGAAGUAUUAAGGAUACAUAUCUUGAGUUCAGUUCCUGAACUGUAGGAACUACUAGCUUUAUACACCCUGGAUAUAAAUAAUUCAAUUUAUACAAAUAUCUUUUUUGUUAAAAUGGGGACAGCAAGUCCUAAUAUUAUGAAGCACAGAAAGUAAAGUAUUCAAUUUUUGAAUUAGAAACACAGCAUAAAACAUAAGAAACAUUAAAAAAAGCAUAAAAUGCUUAUUAUAAUAACAGAAGGAGCAUUGGACAUCACAAAAUCAGUAUUUCUCAUGAGACUCUGUGGCCUAACAUAAACGUCUUAGACACUCUUCUCUUAAAUGUACAGUAGUGGUUUUUCUGCUGACAUAACAGACUAGAGACACAGAAGGACCUUCUGUAACAAAUAUGUAAUAAGUCAUUCAGUUAAUAGGGUUGCUCCUAAAAAAAAAAGAAUAUGUUAUAAGCCAUGUAUAAAGUAACUUUUUAAAUGUGUAACUGACUUUAUAAAAUACUAUGGGAAAUUCUCAGGGGAUUAAAAUGAAGAAGAAUCUGGAACUGGGAAACCAGGUUCCCCUUAGGUUUUUUUUUUUUUUUUUUUUUUUUCUUUUGUUUUUGUUUUGUUUUUUUUUUUAAGUAAUUUUAACUUUUAGAUUCAGGGGAUAGAUAUGCAGGUCUUUGUUACAUAAGUAUAUUGUGUGAUGCUGAGGUUCGGGGAUAUGAACGAUCCUGUCACCCAGGUAGUGAGCAUAGUACCCAAUAGGUGGUUUUCCAUUAAAUCCUUGCCCCCAUCUCCCUCCCUCCUCUAGUAGUCCCCAGUGCCUAUUGUUCCCAUCUUUAUGUCCCUAAGUGCCCAAUGUUUAAGUUUCCACUUAUUAUGAGAACAUGCAGUAUUUGGUUUUCUGUUCCUGUGUUAAUUCACUUGGGAGAAUGUCCUCCAGCUGCAACCAUAUUGCUGCAAAGGACACGAUUUCAUUCUCUUUUGUGACUGAAUAGUAUUCCACAGGCUAUACGUACCAAAUUUUCUUUAUCCCAUCCACCAUUGAUGGACACCUAGGUUGAUUCCAUGUCUUUGCUAUUGUGAACAGUGCUGCAAUGAACAUAGAAGUGGUUGUGUCCUUUUUGUAGAAUAAUUUCUUUUCCUUUGGGCAUACCCCCAGUAAUGGGAUUGCUGAGUCACAUGGUAGUUUUGUUUUUAGUUCUCUGAGGAAUCUCCAAACAGCUUUCCACAGUGGCUGAACUAAUUUACAUUGCCACCAAUAGUAUAUAAGUUUUCCAUUUUCUCUGCAGCCUCACUGGCAUUGUUAUUUUUUGUCUUUUUAAUAACAGCCAUUCUGACUGGUGGGAGAUGAUACCUAAUUGUGGUUCUGACUUGCAUUUCUCUAAUGAUUAGUGAUAUUGACCAUUUUUUCAUAUUUGGCCACUUGUAUGCCAUCCUUUGAGAACUGUCUAUGUCCUUUGCCCACUUUUUAAUGGGGUUGCUUUUUUUUCUUAUAAAUUUGUUGAAAUUCCUUAGAGAUGCUGGACAUUAGACUUUGUCAAUUGCAUAGUUUGCAAAUUUUUCUUCCAUUCUCUGGGUGUCCAUUUACUCUGUUGAUAGUUUCUUUUGCUGUGCAAGAGUGCUUUAGUUUAAUUAGGUCCUACUUGUCAAUUUUUGUUUUUGUUGUAGUUGCUUUUGGGAACUUAGCCAUAAAUUAUUUGCCAAGGCUGAUAUCCAGAAUGGUAUUUCCUAGGUUUUCUUCUAGGAAUUUUACAGUUAGAGGUCUUACCUUUAAAUCUUAAUUCAUCUUAAUUUUUGUAUAUGGUGAUAGGUAGGGGUCCAGUUUCAUUCUUCUGCAUCUGGCUAGCCAGUUAUCCCAGUACCAUUUAUUGAAUAUGAUGUCCUUUCCCCAUUGCUUAUUUUUGUUGACUCUGUCAAAGAUCAGAUGGUUGUAGGUGUGCAGCUUUAUUUCUGGGUUCUCUAUUCUGUUCCAAUGAUCUAUGUGUCUGUUUUUGCACCAGUACCAUCCUGUUUUGGUUACUAUAGCCUUAUAGUAUGGUUUGAAGUUGGAUAAUGGGAUGCCUCUGGCUUUGUUCUUCUUGCUUAGGAUUGCUUUGGCUAUUUGGGCUCUUUUUUGUUUUCAUAUGAAUUUUAGAAUAGUUUUUUCUACUUCUGUGCAAAAUGAAGUUAGUAGUUUCAUAGGAAUAAUGUUAAAUCUGUAGAUUGCUUUGGGCAAUUUAAAUGAUAUUAAUUCUUCCAAUCCAGGAGCAUGGAAUGUUUUUAAAUUUGUGUCAUCUGUGAAUUCUUUCAGCAGGGUUUUGUAGUUCUCCUUACAGAGAUCUUUCACAUCCUUGGUUAGAUGAAUUCUUAGGUAUUUUAUUUGUUUUGUGGCUACUGUAAAUGGGAUUGCCUUCCCAAUUUGGAAACCCAACUGGUUUCCCAGUUCCAGAUUCUUCUUCAUUUUAAUCCCCUGAGAAUUUCCCAUACUAUUUUAUAAACUCAGUUACACAUUUAAAAGGUUACUUUAUACAUGGCUUAUAACACAUUCUUUUUUUUUUAGGAGGAACCCUAUUAACUGAAUGACUUAUUACAUAUUUGUAACAGCUUGAAUAUUACUAAUGUAUAGAAAUGCUACUGAUUUUUUUCCUUUCCUAUUUCGAUGCAUUUUAUUUCUUUCUCUUGCCUGGUUGCUAUGGCUAGGACUUCUAGUACUAUGUUGAAUAGGAAUGGUUAGAGUGGGCAUCAUUGUCUUGUUCCAAGUCUUUUUUUUUUUUUUUUUUUUGA